RNAcentral lists this ribosomal RNA (250 nucleotides) under uncultured bacterium. Its description in RNAcentral is "partial 16S ribosomal RNA". It matches the Rfam family "Bacterial small subunit ribosomal RNA", at positions 524 to 773 of the family's 1533-position model. RNAcentral also lists the same sequence under 1 other name. The record is from RNAcentral.
UACAGAGGGUGCAAGCGUUAAUCGGAUUUACUGGGCGUAAAGCGCGCGUAGGCGGCUAAUUAAGUCAAAUGUGAAAUCCCCGAGCUUAACUUGGGAAUUGCAUUCGAUACUGGUUAGCUAGAGUGUGGGAGAGGAUGGUAGAAUUCCAGGUGUAGCGGUGAAAUGCGUAGAGAUCUGGAGGAAUACCGAUGGCGAAGGCAGCCAUCUGGCCUAACACUGACGCUGAGGUGCGAAAGCAUGGGGAGCAAAC